RNAcentral lists this ribosomal RNA (206 nucleotides) under uncultured bacterium. RNAcentral's name for it is "partial 16S ribosomal RNA". It matches the Rfam family "Bacterial small subunit ribosomal RNA", at positions 568 to 774 of the family's 1533-position model. The record is from RNAcentral.
CAUGUAGGCGGAUUGAUAAGUUUGAAGUGAAAUCCUAUGGCUUAACUAUAGAACUGCUUUGAAAACUGUUAAUCUAGAAUGUGGGAGAGGUAGAUGGAAUUUCUGGUGUAGGGUAAAAUCCGUAGAGAUCAGAAGGAAUACCGAUUGCGAAGGCGAUCUACUGGAACAUUAUUGACGCUGAGAUGCGAAAGCGUGGGGAGCAAACA